RNAcentral lists this transfer RNA (74 nucleotides) under Thermoplasmata archaeon. RNAcentral's name for it is "tRNA-Arg". It matches the Rfam family "tRNA". From Rfam's summary of the family: Transfer RNA (tRNA) molecules are approximately 80 nucleotides in length. RNAcentral also lists the same sequence under 4 other names. Lineage: Archaea; Methanobacteriati; Thermoplasmatota; Thermoplasmata. The record is from RNAcentral.
GGGCCUGUGGUGUAGUUUGGAUAUCACAGGGGCCUCCGGAGCCCUUAACCCGGGUUCAAAUCCCGGCAGGCCCG